AUGGCAUCCUGCUCUGUUGCCCAGAUUAGAGUGCAGUGGCUCGAUCAUAGCUCACUGCAGCCUUGAGUUCCUGGGCUCAAGGAAUCCUCUUGCCUCAGCCUCCUGAAUAGCUGGGACUGCAGGUUCUAUCCUGAGGUACUAAGGUUAAGACCUCAACAUACGAAUUCUGGAGGACACAAUUCAACCCAGAAGUCUACCUUGUAUUGGGUCCUCAAGGCAAGGCUGCAAACCCUGGGGGGUUUGUAGCCCAGUCCUACCUCCCAUGAGCUAAUGAAUGUAGGGCUCAGGGAGGACUGACAGGACUAGAGUUGACAACCAUUCAUCCAACAAACUUUUACUGCACGAGGAAGAGAGGUGAUCAAAGCACUGCCCUUGUCCCCAGGAAGCUCGCUAGUGCAUGGGACUGUGCAGGUGUCUUUACCUCUGGAUUAGGCAUUCGAUGUCAGGCCAUGGCUGAGCAUCCAUCCUCUCUAUGCUAAUUUUUUCCAAAAGUCAAGAGUUUGGAAGAACACUAAUGUGUUUUUCUUCCAGCCUUUCCUACACAAAUGACAACAUCAUUACCCUCAGCUUUUAAAGUGCAAGUCUGUACAGAGAUCCCAGAGUCAAGGAGGGCGCCUGAGUAAUUUGAAAUAAUUACCUUUUCUUUUUCCUGCCUGAGUCUUGCGUAUCUGUGAAUCAGCAAUGUGGAAACUGGGCUUCAAAAAAAUUAAGGGAGGCUUAAAGUGAGCAAAGCAGAGAAGAGCAUUGGCAAGAGCUGAGCGCUGCCACAGCAGGAACAUCAUGCCGAUCGUCAUCUAAGGGAGCUCAUGGCGCUGUCUGCCUCCUCUUAGCAACAUCCACACAGGCUGGUACAGUCAGAUCAUUGUGACUUGGACAGGGAUGAAAAUACUCAGCUGACACCAGUAGCUCCCAGCACAGCCAGGGUAUUCUAGAGGUGUGUGGUGUCAGGGCAGCCUGUGGGGCCUCAUUUAUUUACCUGAGUCAUCUGAACAAAGCGGUGACUGGCUUUGCCUCGCUCUGGCAAGAACUCACAACAAAGCCAAAGCCUCUUCCUCCACGGCCUUUGCUCCUGCAGCACAGCACUGGCAUCUUUUUAGCAUCAUAGACACUGUCACGUGGCAAUCAAUGACAGAUGAACUGUCCCUUCCCUGGGCCACAAGUUCUUCAAGGCGGGAGCCUCAGCCCAGUUUCUUCCAUGUCUCCAGGGCCCAGCACAGGGCCUGGCUUCUAGCUGGUUUCUGAUGAAUAAAAGAAUGGCUGUAGAGAUGUACUCUUCGAAACACAAGGGGCUUCUAUAGUGGCAACAUGUUCAAUAGCACAAUACUGUACUGGUUCUUUACAGCUUGCAGGACCCAAAGAAGGAAUGAUUUUUGUUUCCCUGGAAAGGUGUACCUCGUGGGGGCACUGCUCGAGGGAAGGUGCCCACAAGUUGGGGAUCAAGGGAGGCACAGGUUGAUCAAGGCCCCUGGAAUUGAAAUGGAGGUGCUCAUCCUGCGGAGGCUCUGAACAUCUGAGGCAGAGCCUUGAUUCUCCAGGAAAUUGACUUUGCCGGAGAACAAGGCUGGGGGAGGCAGGCUGUCCUAGGGGAGGAGUCGUAUUUCAGCCCCACUGAGACCCCCAAAGGAGCACUCCCAUGCUUUACCCCAACUGUCCAUCAGGGGGCAGGCAGAGGCAAGAGAAGAGGAAAGCGUGCGGCUGGUCAGGCCAGCCUGGCAUCCCACACGCUGGGCUGCCUGACUCAGACAAAGCCAGGCCGCUCCUCCUGCCUGUUAUGGCCUCUGUGAUUUUAUAUGGUUUGGCCUGUGACAUCAGACACCACGCGACCAUGGUAACCAAAGUAUACAGCCUGGAGUGAAUGUUAAUAAACAGGAAAGAAA
Molecule: long non-coding RNA, 1877 nt
Organism: Nomascus leucogenys (northern white-cheeked gibbon)
Lineage: Eukaryota; Metazoa; Chordata; Mammalia; Primates; Hylobatidae
Exons: 3
Source: RefSeq, a predicted model, not a curated record